CGUCGAAGGUGGGGCUGAUGACUGGGGUGAAGUCGUAACAAGGUAUCCGUACCGGAAGGUGCGGAUGGAUCACCUCCUAACAGGGAGACAAACAACGAUUUUGAUGCCUGAGUGUUUUUAUUCUUAGGCCGAAAUCCUGUCACCUUAGGUCGAUCGGUACCUCAGCAUUGAAGCAACAGGAUUAACAGAGAUGUUGAUGCAUGUUGUGCAGAUGAUCAGUUCCUAAACUUUGUCUAGGUCACACCCCACAAGGGUUGAGUUUUCCUGGGCCAUUAGCUCAGGUGGUUAGAGCGCACCCCUGAUAAGGGUGAGGUCCCUGGUUCAAGUCCAGGAUGGCCCAUUCGGUGUUGGGGGUUUAGCUCAGUUGGUAGAGCGCCUGCUUUGCAAGCAGGAUGUCAGGAGUUCGAGUCUCCUAACCUCCACUGACCGAACUCAAUCUCCGGUCUUGCAUUGAUAGAUGGAGAACCACUCGAUUGUGAAGUGUGAUUUAGAUGUGUCCGCUAGAUGACCCCAGCUUCCUGUCAUUCCAAUAAUUAUCGUGUUAUUUGGUUGAUAAGAUGCUGGGCUCGAAUCAAGUUAUUAAGCAAUUAAUGGUUUGAUUUGAAGUCUGGCAGAACCUUGACAACUGCAUAGGUGAGUCUGGAUAAAAUAAAGCAUCUUACAGAUGCAUUGUUUUGAAUUCUGUCUUCUGAAAGGUAGGCGGAAUCCAGGACAAUGAAAAUUCUUUUGAGCGAGAGCUGAGACUCUUGAGCGUUCUUUGAUUCGUGUCGAGCGAAUCAGAGUUUGAUUUUGUUUUAGGAUUCUACGAGAGUUGAUGAUUAAAACUUGAGAAUCUGCUUUCAACGGCAGUAAGCGUUCAGGAAGUUAAUUGGUCAAGCUACAAAGGGCUCACGGCG
This 896-nucleotide unclassified non-coding RNA is filed under the name uncultured Synechococcus sp. RNAcentral describes it as "partial may contain 16S ribosomal RNA, 16S-23S ribosomal RNA intergenic spacer, and 23S ribosomal RNA". The stretch from base 350 to 422 matches the Rfam family "tRNA". The record is from RNAcentral. Lineage: Bacteria; Bacillati; Cyanobacteriota; Cyanophyceae; Synechococcales; Synechococcaceae.